This is a long non-coding RNA of Oreochromis niloticus (Nile tilapia), 2107 nucleotides long. RefSeq lists it as uncharacterized. The transcript is spliced from 3 exons. Lineage: Eukaryota; Metazoa; Chordata; Actinopteri; Cichliformes; Cichlidae. The record is from RefSeq and is a predicted model, not a curated record.
AUCAGUCAAUUCCUUUUGUGAAAGCUGGUGUGGGUACAAGGUGCCUUUAGUUCUGCAGUUUGAUGCAACGGGCUAUGACAUCAGUGAGGCAGGCAAGCAAUUGAAGCAACUACCAUGAAGAUAGUACUGACUGACAUAUGACUUUUUAGUAUAUACAUAAGAGUGUUACCCAGGCAACCAGGGCCUGGAAUGUCUGCAAGAAACCAGCCGCCACUUUCAAAGCAAUGCAUGAUGGGCAAAUUGCUUCCAAUGUGGAGACAGCUUUAUCCACUCUUAUGCUCUUCGCUGACUGACCAGCUGAGUGGUGAUGCCAUGACCAUGUGAUCCUUUGGCUUGUAGAGUCUUCACAGCCUUCCUGUUAAUCAUCCUCUGAAACUGCAAAUAGGAACCUCGUCAGACAUGGAGGCACAUCAACUGGCCUUUUUGUUCUCUCUCAGCUAACCAAGGAGACCUGGGCAUCAAAGCUGGUCUCUCUGCAAAGUUCACAUUUGCAUUUUGCAUGGCAGGGGCCACUUUCCUUUCCCAGUUCCCGCUGCUCUUCUGAGAGUCGGAGGGGAAAAAGUGUGCACCAAAUAAAUGAGCUGUUUGGUAAGAACAUUAAAUUAAAACACAUUAUGUUUCACUUACAUAUGCUUCGUGCAAUAACAAAAUGUGACUGAGCUCAUUGUUAACAUGAUGAAGAAUGUUGGAAACGAAACAGAUCUUCCCUGAAAACCCUGAUCACCUUUUAAAUUUCAGAGCAAGGAGAGAGUCAUCAACAAUGGAAAUUCAUUCAUCCUUGUAUUUUUCCACCAUUAGGGAUACAAUUCUAGCACACGGCUGAAUAUAAUAAUGACAUAUUAUUGAAAAACAUAGGAGGCUUCGGCUUCACUGCUCCCAGAGAAUGUCUGGAGAUUAGAAAAAUGGGGCACAGACAAUUUGCUAAAAAACAAAAAGAGAUAAAACUGUGCAGUGUGCAGGUUAAGCAAGUGAGCCAAGAAUCUGCCACUCCUUUUUGUUCUCUCAUACCACACUGAGGAUUUUAUUCCCAUCGCUCCGGCAGAUGAAAUUCUGGGUGAAAUAUUGCAGGACUCCAGUAAGACAGGUGGCUCAUUAUCCACAACAUCAACAAAGAGGGAGAGAGGAAAAACGACCACCAAGGUUUUUGAUAUGAUGCAACACCUCUUCCUCCUCAGAGGUUUCCUAAUGUAUGUAAUUAGAAUCAAGGACAGAAUAAGGAAAUGCUAAUGAGGCAUCUCUUUGGUUUUUUUGAUGUCUUUAUGCUUAUAGCAGAAUCAUGCUUUUUGCAUUGUACAGUUAAAGGUUUGAAAGGUAAGGAAAAAGUCAUCCUCGAAGAUUUCUGGAUACUAUAAGUUAUGUUUUUCAAAAUGUCAGCAUGCUGAAAACUCCCUGCUGGUGGACGUCUAGUUUCUUUAUUAAGUGGGAGAAAACAAGUGAGGAUGAAUUGCUUUGGAGAGAUAUGAAACUGUUGGGAAUAUCUGUGUUUCAAUGUGAUGAAUGAGCAAUGAUCCCUAUGUAAAUGGCAAGAACAUUAAUAAGGCGAGUAGGGUUUGGUAAAGGAAAUGUGGGUUUUCAUCUUAGUGAUUUGAGUUAACCCAGUUACAGCCUGGUGCUUGACGAAUGAUGUAGUUAGCGUUGCCACCGGAAAGUGUUUGAUAAUGAGGAAACUGCAGAACAGAGACUCAUGUAAAAGAAAGGAAAGUAAGGCUCCUCUGACAUGAGGUUAAUCAACUACAACUGCCCUCACAUUAUGCACUCUAAAUCACACCCAGCUGUUAAACAGUGUUUAGCGAUAUGCAUGAAGUGGUACAUUUUGCUGCAUAAUAAAAAUAACCAAACAUGUCUCAGACUGUUUUUAAAUAACCGGGCCUGUAUGUGAGCACUUAUGGACACCCUGGUGCUAUCAUACAGUAGAUGACUAUAAUCCUCCCAGACGUUUCUGGCUGAAUUAAAAUACUAAUGCAUACAGAAUCAGCUCUGUCUUAGAAUGCUUUGGCUUUUUUCAAAAUAGGCUUAUUCACUUUUUUGAACAGAGUUAGCUUAUCGGUUCAGCCUUUUAAAUAUGAAGCUACAGCCAGCAGAUGAUUAAUUUGUUUUAACUUGAAGA